This 526-nucleotide ribosomal RNA is filed under the name uncultured bacterium. RNAcentral describes it as "bacterial SSU rRNA". It matches the Rfam family "Bacterial small subunit ribosomal RNA", at positions 777 to 1304 of the family's 1533-position model. The record is from RNAcentral.
AAUAGAUACCCUGGUAGUCCAUGCCGUAAACGAUGUCUACUAGCCGUUGGGGCCUUUGAGGCUUUAGUGGCGCAGCUAACGCGAUAAGUAGACCGCCUGGGGAGUACGGUCGCAAGACUAAAACUCAAAUGAAUUGACGGGGGCCCGCACAAGCGGUGGAGCAUGUGGUUUAAUUCGAUGCAACGCGAAGAACCUUACCUGGCCUUGACAUACUAAGAACUUUCCAGAGAUGGAUUGGUGCCUUCGGGAACUUAGAUACAGGUGCUGCAUGGCUGUCGUCAGCUCGUGUCGUGAGAUGUUGGGUUAAGUCCCGCAACGAGCGCAACCCUUUUCCUACUUGCCAGCAUUUCGGAUGGGAACUUUAAGGAUACUGCCAGUGACAAACUGGAGGAAGGCGGGGACGACGUCAAGUCAUCAUGGCCCUUAGGCCAGGGCUACGACACGUGCUACAAUGGUCGGUACAAAGGGUUGCUACUGCGCGAGCAGAUGCUAAUCUCAAAAAGCCGAUCGUAGUCCGGAUCGCAGU